AUAGAACUUGAGUAUUCGUAGGGCUUAUCUAUAUUCGGGCCUAACACUUUCUCUAAGGGAAUAAGAAUCAUCUAUAAGUAUUAUAUGCUUGGCCUCUUUUUAUGACGCUAAGACUAAAGAAAGUAGUGCUAUUAUACCCACCUGAUUAUAUCAGGACCAAAUUUUAUAAGUUUCUACGAUACUUCGGUCUGAUG
This 194-nucleotide non-coding RNA is filed under the name Gemella sp. GH3. RNAcentral's name for it is "6S / SsrS RNA". It matches the Rfam family "6S / SsrS RNA". Rfam says of the family: E. coli 6S RNA was the first non coding RNA to be sequenced, but its function was unknown until recently. It consists of 184 nucleotides that fold into an extended hairpin structure with a large single-stranded internal bulge. RNAcentral also lists the same sequence under 1 other name. Lineage: Bacteria; Bacillati; Bacillota; Bacilli; Caryophanales; Gemellaceae. The record is from Rfam by way of RNAcentral.